This 369-nucleotide long non-coding RNA is filed under the name Anolis carolinensis (green anole). RNAcentral's name for it is "lncRNA (ENSACAG00000030737.2)". The record is from RNAcentral. Lineage: Eukaryota; Metazoa; Chordata; Lepidosauria; Squamata; Anolidae.
GCUUUGGCUUAGUUUUGCUUGCUUGCACUGAAAAUAAAACAGACUUUGUGAGGCUUCUGAGGUUUACAAAAUUCAAACAAAAAAGUAUUGGAUCUGAUAGGAGAAAAGUGAACAAGCAGAUUUCUAUCAAGAUACUGGAAAUACCUUCCCAGUCCAGCAUGCAGUCAUGCCAGUGACAUGACUUGGACACAUCAACGGACAACGCGGGCUCUUCAGCUUAGAAUUGGAGGUGAGCACUACCCCUAGAGGCAGACAUGACUAGACUUAAUGUCAAGGGGAAACAUUUACCUUACUAUGAAUAUAGUAAUCUGAUGUUAAGACAACUGGCCUAAAUCCAAUUAUAUUAAUAGCAUGCACUUGAUCAAUAGA